Molecule: ribosomal RNA, 465 nt
Filed under: uncultured bacterium
Lineage: Bacteria
Description: partial 16S ribosomal RNA
Rfam family: Bacterial small subunit ribosomal RNA
Source: RNAcentral
GACGAGCGCUGGCGGCGUGCUUAACACAUGCAAGUCGAACGGAAAGGCCCUGCUUGCAGGGUACUCGAGUGGCGAACGGGUGAGUAACACGUGGGUGAUCUGCCCUGCACUUCGGGAUAAGCCUGGGAAACUGGGUCUAAUACCGGAUAGGAGCCAUUUUUAGUGUGAUGGUUGGAAAGUUUUUUCGGUGUAGGAUGAGCUCGCGGCCUAUCAGCUUGUUGGUGGGGUAAUGGCCUACCAAGGCGGCGACGGGUAGCCGGCCUGAGAGGGUGGACGGCCACAUUGGGACUGGGAUACGGCCCAGACUGCUACGGGAGGCAGCAGUGGGGAAUAUUGCACAAUGGGCGCAAGCCUGAUGCAGCGACGCCGCGGGGGGGAUGACGGCCUUCGGGUUGUAAACUCAUUUCGCUAGGGACGAAGCUUUUUGUGACGGUACCUAGAUAAGAAGCACCGGCUAACUACGUG